RNAcentral lists this ribosomal RNA (1550 nucleotides) under Klebsiella pneumoniae. RNAcentral describes it as "bacterial SSU rRNA". It matches the Rfam family "Bacterial small subunit ribosomal RNA". Lineage: Bacteria; Pseudomonadati; Pseudomonadota; Gammaproteobacteria; Enterobacterales; Enterobacteriaceae. The record is from RNAcentral.
AAAUUGAAGAGUUUGAUCAUGGCUCAGAUUGAACGCUGGCGGCAGGCCUAACACAUGCAAGUCGAGCGGUAGCACAGAGAGCUUGCUCUCGGGUGACGAGCGGCGGACGGGUGAGUAAUGUCUGGGAAACUGCCUGAUGGAGGGGGAUAACUACUGGAAACGGUAGCUAAUACCGCAUAAUGUCGCAAGACCAAAGUGGGGGACCUUCGGGCCUCAUGCCAUCAGAUGUGCCCAGAUGGGAUUAGCUAGUAGGUGGGGUAAUGGCUCACCUAGGCGACGAUCCCUAGCUGGUCUGAGAGGAUGACCAGCCACACUGGAACUGAGACACGGUCCAGACUCCUACGGGAGGCAGCAGUGGGGAAUAUUGCACAAUGGGCGCAAGCCUGAUGCAGCCAUGCCGCGUGUGUGAAGAAGGCCUUCGGGUUGUAAAGCACUUUCAGCGGGGAGGAAGGCGAUAAGGUUAAUAACCUUGUCGAUUGACGUUACCCGCAGAAGAAGCACCGGCUAACUCCGUGCCAGCAGCCGCGGUAAUACGGAGGGUGCAAGCGUUAAUCGGAAUUACUGGGCGUAAAGCGCACGCAGGCGGUCUGUCAAGUCGGAUGUGAAAUCCCCGGGCUUAACCUGGGAACUGCAUUCGAAACUGGCAGGCUAGAGUCUUGUAGAGGGGGGUAGAAUUCCAGGUGUAGCGGUGAAAUGCGUAGAGAUCUGGAGGAAUACCGGUGGCGAAGGCGGCCCCCUGGACAAAGACUGACGCUCAGGUGCGAAAGCGUGGGGAGCAAACAGGAUUAGAUACCCUGGUAGUCCACGCCGUAAACGAUGUCGAUUUGGAGGUUGUGCCCUUGAGGCGUGGCUUCCGGAGCUAACGCGUUAAAUCGACCGCCUGGGGAGUACGGCCGCAAGGUUAAAACUCAAAUGAAUUGACGGGGGCCCGCACAAGCGGUGGAGCAUGUGGUUUAAUUCGAUGCAACGCGAAGAACCUUACCUGGUCUUGACAUCCACAGAACUUUCCAGAGAUGGAUUGGUGCCUUCGGGAACUGUGAGACAGGUGCUGCAUGGCUGUCGUCAGCUCGUGUUGUGAAAUGUUGGGUUAAGUCCCGCAACGAGCGCAACCCUUAUCCUUUGUUGCCAGCGGUCCGGCCGGGAACUCAAAGGAGACUGCCAGUGAUAAACUGGAGGAAGGUGGGGAUGACGUCAAGUCAUCAUGGCCCUUACGACCAGGGCUACACACGUGCUACAAUGGCAUAUACAAAGAGAAGCGACCUCGCGAGAGCAAGCGGACCUCAUAAAGUAUGUCGUAGUCCGGAUUGGAGUCUGCAACUCGACUCCAUGAAGUCGGAAUCGCUAGUAAUCGUAGAUCAGAAUGCUACGGUGAAUACGUUCCCGGGCCUUGUACACACCGCCCGUCACACCAUGGGAGUGGGUUGCAAAAGAAGUAGGUAGCUUAACCUUCGGGAGGGCGCUUACCACUUUGUGAUUCAUGACUGGGGUGAAGUCGUAACAAGGUAACCGUAGGGGAACCUGCGGUUGGAUCACCUCCUUACCUUAAAGAA